Molecule: ribosomal RNA, 253 nt
Filed under: uncultured bacterium
Lineage: Bacteria
Description: partial 16S ribosomal RNA
Rfam family: Bacterial small subunit ribosomal RNA
Source: RNAcentral
UACGAAGGGUGCAAGCGUUACUCGGAAUUACUGGGCGUAAAGCGUGCGUAGGCGGUUCGUUAAGUCUGAUGUGAAAGCCCUGGGCUCAACCUGGGAAUGGCAUUGGAUACUGGCGACCUAGAGUGCGGUAGAGGGGUGUGGAAUUCCCGGUGUAGCAGUGAAAUGCGUAGAUAUCGGGAGGAACAUCUGUGGCGAAGGCGACACCCUGGACCAGCACUGACACUGAGGCACGAAAGCGUGGGUAGCAAACGGG